CUCACGGAACCCUGAGCAUCCUCCUGUUGACUAAAUUUCCCCGGUGACGUCAGAGUGCACGUACAUCGUCCAUGUAAGUGAUGCUUCUGAAUGAAUGAGUGUCCCCUCCCACCUCCAAUACUAGUACUACGGGAUGUCUAUAAGAGCAGAUCGCCGGGACAGCCCGCUGAAUUGCAUGACAUGAGGAGUGAGGCGCAGGUGCCAGAAGCGAAAUUUAAAAAGAUCAAAAUCCGACAUAUAUUUUUUUUACAAGAAUGUAGUAGCAGUGCUGGCCAUGGGGUUUUAUUCAAGUCGUAAAGUGUAGAAAUCUCCGCUGGAGUUGAGAAGACCAUGGGAAAAUCUGUUGAUGUGAAAACACACAAAUCCCCACAGUCAACACUUCAAACAGUGGUCUACUGACGUCAAACCUAGAGUUCCUCAGUUGAGUUUGCAUAAGUGCACCCUAUGCUCCCGUCCGUGCAUAUCCGGUGGCUGACUCAUAGAUAAUCGGCAUGGAAAUCAAUUCUACAAACAAAACAAGUGGGCUAUGUAACCAUCAGUCUGGUCACACGUAGCCUCUGGCCUCUGGCAGGAAAGACAACGAUUCAAACCAAUGUGAGCUCUGUGUCAUGGUGUAUAAUCUGAUUUGUUUGAUAGUAAUUUGGGUGAGGGAUAUGCCAGGUGAUUAUAAAGAGCAU
Long non-coding RNA from Gasterosteus aculeatus aculeatus (three-spined stickleback), 677 nucleotides. NCBI's taxonomy places the organism in Eukaryota, Metazoa, Chordata, Actinopteri, Perciformes, Gasterosteidae. The record is from Ensembl.